RNAcentral lists this non-coding RNA (105 nucleotides) under Bacillus sp. (in: firmicutes). RNAcentral's name for it is "Bacillus sp. SAM-I sequence". It matches the Rfam family "SAM riboswitch aptamer (S box leader)". From Rfam's summary of the family: The SAM riboswitch is found upstream of a number of genes which code for proteins involved in methionine or cysteine biosynthesis in Gram-positive bacteria. The SAM riboswitch acts at the level of transcription termination control. Lineage: Bacteria; Bacillati; Bacillota; Bacilli; Caryophanales; Bacillaceae. The record is from RNAcentral. RNAcentral also lists the same sequence under 1 other name.
UCUCUAUCAAGAGAGACGGAGGGAAAGGCCCGAUGAUGUCUCGGCAACAGGUCCAUCAAGGAUACUGUGCUAAGUCCUGCAAACAAAUUGUUUGGAAGAUGGGGA